AAAGAGAUAUGACUUACAACUACCGAAUACGGGGUAGUAGCCAAAAACUCUGAUGAGGAUAAAAGAAUUAGGGUUUACAUCUACCGAAUACGGGGUAGAAAACCAACAACUCCACGUGGGGAAUGCAAGAAACACAAAUCCGCACAGGAACAAAAUAGGGUUUAUAACAAACCACCCACUCUUGCCGAGGAAUAAAAGGUAUAUAACC
Molecule: long non-coding RNA, 208 nt
Filed under: Lathyrus oleraceus (garden pea)
Lineage: Eukaryota; Viridiplantae; Streptophyta; Magnoliopsida; Fabales; Fabaceae
Description: Pisum sativum (pea) long non-coding RNA (PSAT_LNC009962)
Source: RNAcentral